Molecule: ribosomal RNA, 2016 nt
Filed under: Triticum aestivum (bread wheat)
Lineage: Eukaryota; Viridiplantae; Streptophyta; Magnoliopsida; Poales; Poaceae
Description: partial small subunit ribosomal RNA
Source: RNAcentral
AUGAUGAAUAGUGUGCUCAUGCUUGUCCGGCUCCUCAUCCUCUGCCUUGUUCUAGCAGCCAAAGCCACCGGCGAUGACCAACUCGUCUACUCCGGUUUCACCGGCGCCAACCUCACCUUGGACGGUGCGGCCACGGUGACUCCAGACGGCCUCCUCGAGCUCACCAACGGCACGGACCAGCAGAAGGGCCACGCCUUCUACCCGACCCCGCUGCGCUUCGCCGGAGGGUCUCCCGGCGGCGGCACCGUGCGGUCCUUCUCGGCCUCCUUCGUGUUCGCCAUCCAGUCCAUCUACACCGACCUGAGCGCCCACGGCAUGGCCUUCGUGGUGGCGUCGAGCAAGAACUUCUCGUCCGCGCUGCCCGGCCAGCUCCUGGGCCUCACGGACAUCCAGAACAACGGCAACGGUAGCAACCACUUCUUCGCCGUGGAGCUCGACACCAUCCAGAACAAGGAGUUCGACGACCUCAACGCCAACCACGCCGGCGCCAACGUCAACGGCCUCCGGUCGCUGCAGUCCUACUACGCCGGCUACUUUGAUGACGAGGACGGUAGCUUCCACAACCUGAGCCUGAUCAGCCGUGAGGCCAUGCAGGUCUGGGUGGAUUACGACCACAGGACUGCACAAAUCACCGUCACCAUGGCUCCCCUCAAGGUAGGCCGACCAGUAAGGCCGUUGUUCACCACCACCUACAACCUCACCACCGCAGUGACAGACGUCGCGUACGUCGGUUUCUCCUCGGCGACCGGCACGAUCAACGUGCGACACUACGUGCUUGGCUGGAGCUUCGCCAUGAACGGCCCAGCUCCGGCCAUCGACAUCGCGAAGCUACCAAAGCUUCCGCGCAUGGGACCGAAGCCACGAUCCAAGGUGCUGGACAUAGUACUGCCAAUAGCUUCCGGAGCGUUCGUGCUCGCCUUGGGCGCCAUUGUUCUCCUGGUAUUACGGAGACGUUUCCGGUACGCCGAGCUGCGAGAAGAUUGGGAGGUCGAGUUCGGUCCACAGCGGUUCUCGUACAAGGACCUGUACCGUGCAACGGAAGGUUUCAGCGACACGCACCUGCUAGGAAUCGGAGGAUUUGGGAGGGUGUACAGGGGCACCCUUCUGGUGUCCAAAGUGGAGGUUGCUGUGAAGAAGGUUGCACACGACUCGAAGCAGGGCAUCAAGGAAUUCAUCUCGGAGGUCGUGAGCAUAGGACGUCUCCAACACAGCAAUCUUGCGCCAUUGCUAGGAUACUGCAGACGAAGAGGCGAAUUGUUUCUGGUGUACGAGUACAUGCCAAAUGGGAGCGUUGACAAGUACUUGCACCGUAGAGAAGGCAAACCCAUUUUGAAUUGGGCUCAGAGGUGGCACAUCAUCAAAGGCAUUGCGUCAUGUCUGGUCUACCUUCAUGAAGAGUGGGAGAAAGUGGUCAUCCACCGCGACAUCAAAGCCAGUAACGUCGUCCUCGAUGGCGACAUGAAUGGAAGACUCGGUGACUUUGGCCUUGCAAGGUUGUACGACCACGACGCCGACCCCCAAACCACACAUGUGGUGGGAACCAUAGGAUACCUUGCUCCUGAGCUUGGGCAUACUAGCAAAGCAACCCCUCUCACUGAUGUGUUUGCGUUUGGGGUGUUCAUUCUUGAAGUUACUUGUGGGCAGAGGCCAGUAAAUCCAAACUUAGAGGAUAGCCAAGUAUUGUUGGUCGAAUCGGUGCUCGAGCAAUGGAACAAGGGAUCGCUCCUUGAUGCCGUGGAUAAGCAGCUUGGGGGCAACUACAACGCCGACGAGGCAUGUUUGGCUCUAAAGCUAGGCCUGUUAUGCUCUCAUCCAUUCGCCAAUGCAAGGCCUACUAUGCGACAGGUGAUGCAGUACCUUGACAGGGACAUGCCAUUGCCGGAGAUGACACCGACGGAUUUAAGCUUUCAGAUGAUGACCAUAAUGCAGAAUGAAGGAUUUGACCAAUUUGUCAUGACAUAUCCUUCAUCAACAGCGAGUGUUGACAGCACAUCCGUCCUUACAGUUGGGAGGUGA